Molecule: ribosomal RNA, 450 nt
Filed under: uncultured bacterium
Lineage: Bacteria
Description: partial 16S ribosomal RNA
Rfam family: Bacterial small subunit ribosomal RNA
Source: RNAcentral
GUGGGGAAUAUUGCGCAAUGGGGGAAACCCUGACGCAGCAACGCCGCGUGAGUGAUGAAGGUCUUCGGAUUGUAAAGCUCUGUUAAUCGGGACGAAAGAGCCUAGUGUGAAUAAUGCUAGGAAGUGACGGUACCGGAAUAGAAAGCCACGGCUAACUACGUGCCAGCAGCCGCGGUAAUACGUAGGUGGCAAGCGUUGUCCGGAAUUAUUGGGCGUAAAGCGCGCGCAGGCGGAUCUGCCAGUCUGUCUUAAAAGUGCGAGGCUCAACCUCGUGAGGGGACAGAAACUGGUAUUCUUGAGUGUCGGAGAGGAAAGUGGAAUUCCAAGUGUAGCGGUGAAAUGCGUAGAGAUUUGGAAGAACACCAGUGGCGAAGGCGACUUUCUGGACGAAAACUGACGCUGAGGCGCGAAAGCCAGGGGAGCGAACGGGAUUAGAAACCCCAGUAGUCC